GUUGUCCCAAAUAGGACGAAACGCGCGUCCUGAAU
Molecule: non-coding RNA, 35 nt
Filed under: Schistosoma mansoni
Lineage: Eukaryota; Metazoa; Platyhelminthes; Trematoda; Strigeidida; Schistosomatidae
Source: RNAcentral